RNA transcript from Mus pahari (shrew mouse), 3586 nucleotides. It is a transcript of the gene named decapping mRNA 1B, with no coding region annotated. The transcript has 9 exons. The record is from RefSeq and is a predicted model, not a curated record. NCBI's taxonomy places the organism in Eukaryota, Metazoa, Chordata, Mammalia, Rodentia, Muridae.
GUGGGUGGGAAGAUGGCGGCCGCGGCGGCAGGUGGCCUGCCUGGGAAGGGACACGAUAUCAGCCUGGCAGCCCUGCGGCGCCACGACCCCUACAUCAGUCGCAUCGUGGACGUGGCCAGCCAGGUGGCUCUGUACACUUUCGGCCAUCGGGCCAACGAGUGGGAGAAGACUGGAGUGGAAGGAACCUUAUUUGUUUAUACAAGGUCUGCCUCCCCAAAGCACGGAUUCACCAUUAUGAAUAGGCUCAGCAUGGAAAACAGAACAGAACCCAUUACUAAAGACCUGGACUUCCAGCUCCAGAACCCUUUCCUCCUCUACAGAAAUGGCACACUGUCCAUUUAUGGAAUUUGGUUUUAUGAUAAGGAAGAGUGCCAGAGAAUUGCAAAACUAAUGAAAAACCUCACUCAGAGUGAACAGUUGAAAGCCUGUCAUGGAGCUGGAGCGGGAGCCGGAUCCUCUCCAGUGACCUUGAGUUCAGGGGAGGGCCAAGAAGUAGAUAUCCUGCAGAUGCUCACCAAGGCCAAGGAUGAGUACACUAAGUGUAAGACCUGUUCCGAGCCAAAACAGAUGACCAGUUCCUCUGCCAUCUGUGACAACCCUAAACUUAUCAAACCUGUCCCCGUGAGACCCAGCAGCAGCCAGAGGCUGCAAGGACCCACUCCCAGUAAGACCUUGGACCCUGAGCCUCAACACUUAUCUUUGACAGCGCUAUUUGGGAAACAAGACAAAGGUCCUUGUCAGGAAACUGUAAAGCCCUCCCAGACAUUUGCCCACCACCACCACCACCACCACCAUCACCACCAGCAGCAACAAGAGACGCUUCCAGUUCAUCACGGGGUCGCAUGCUCCCUGUCCUGUGAGGAACCCAGGAAGCUCCCACUCCCUGUGGAGAAGCAGCUCUGCCCAGCCAUUCAGAAACUAAUGCUCGGGAGCCCGGGGCUGCACCCCCUGCCUCAGCACCUUGAACAGUGGCCCUGCCAAAGUGGCAGCCCCAGUCCUGCAGGGGAACUUCUCCCCGGUCCUGUCCAGCGGGGGUCCCCCUGGAAUGGCAGGGCUGCACACUGCACACAGAGCACUUGCAGAAGCCACAAGCUAUUAGAGCAGCUUCAAGGUGCCCCUGAGGCAGUGCAUAAGUAUAGCCCCUGUGCGCCUACCGGUCUGGCUGUGGCCACUCAGGUGGCUCCGGGCCAGAGUGUGGCCCAGUCACAGCGGCUGUAUUUCAGUGGCCCCCUUCCACCUCCUGUCCCAGGACACCAAGCUCUCAGGAAGGAGCAGGGUGCACUGCCUGCACAUGCGGUGUCCCUCUCUGGCAGCCAGGAGAGCAGCCCCACCGUGCUCCCUACACAGGAGCUGCUAAGGAAGCUCCAGAUAAUACACCAGGAGCAGCAGGCUGCCCCCCGACCAGCCUUGGCAGCCAGGUUCCCUGUGUCAGCCCAGGGAUCAGGGACAGAAAAGCCCUUGGAAGCCUGGGUCAGCAAGACAGCAAGCAUGGAGAACCAGGCUCCUCUUCUGCAGGUGCACAGUAUUGUGAAGACCAGGCAGGAACAAGUGCACCACCCACAAGCUGCCAGAGAAGGGAACAUAGUGUGAUUGCUAGAAAUAGUGUAUCUUUCUGGGAGGAUGUUGUCUCUGCCCAUCAGCUUCUGGGAUAGUGAGCCAGGAUCUGUUGACCGGCUGCCUGUAAUGGCAUCUGAAGGUCUGCCCAGGUCUGUUUCCCUUGGUUUACCAUGGAGUGACUGAAAACAUGCUGCCUUUAAAGAUUGGAAUGGUCCUCAUACUUAUUUUAUUUAUAUUUUAUUUAUUUAAAACUCUUAAUCUUUUUUUAUUACGUAGCUCAGAGUAGGUCCUCAGAAAUUGUUCAUGAUUUUUAAAACAAAGGCCUUGUGCAUACACUGUAUGUGUCUGGGUGUGUGACCAUGUCAAGGUGUUCCUUUUUAUUAAAUCCCAGGCGCAAGUGCCUUCCGCGGGAAACCGAGGCUGUGUCCCCUCGCUCACUGCGAGACAGUAUUGAUCCCGUUCUAAAUGUCUGUUUUUCAUUUCUCUUUGUUGAUUUGGAAUCAGAAAAUCAGGGUUAAUAAUCAGACUUAAAUUUCUACAUAUACAAUUCUCUUUGUUUUCAAUUCUCACAAAUGCCAGGGACCAAAUAAGGAAAGCGUGCCUUCUGUCAGCCCACGCUGUGCUCUUCUUGCUGUCGAGACUCCUCCCUUUGGGAGCAUCAGCUCUCAACACCUCUCUUUGGGAGAUCAAAUAGGGAAAGCUAAGAGAAACAACAGCCUGUCUCACUCUAGGCCAUUUUCUGCCCCCAAAGAUGCCAAGGGAUGAUGAUAAAAUUAUAGCCACUUGUAAAUCGCUGCUUCUCCACUUUCUUCUCAUGAGUUUCAGAGUACUUUGAGGUUGAGAAAUGAGACACCUUUUUGUUACCUGAGUUAGAGACACAUGGCAGCUGUAGGAGUCAGUCAGAUACAGUUCAGAAUGUCACUUGCGUAAUUGGGAAAGCCAUUUGAAAACUUGGUUUUAGACCUGCCCGUCAAGGGAUUAUAUAGACUCAGCAGACAGAUGGGUCACAGUGUUCCACACUCCAUGUGCCCAGACUUUGCUCUUCACCCCAGGAUCUACCCUCACCCUGACUCCAUGCCCAUGACAGCCAGAAGCAGAAGGCAUGCGCUCUAUAGAUAAUUAGAGAAGGAACAGGGGCAGAUGCACAAAUCACAGUCCCUCCUAGGGACAGGGGAGGUGGCUCCGUGAAGAGCCAGGGUUGGGAGCUGUGUGUGCAUCUGACAAGCAUGUGGGCGAUAGGACCUAGGUCGGGGCAGUGGACAGCUAAUGCUGACUAAGGAAGGCCAGCAAUCCUAAAUGCAUGUUGCCUGGAAACUCAACCCUCGCCCAGGGACUUAGUUUCAUGCACAGAGGUCGUGACAUCAGCAGGAGGCUCCAGAGCUGUGUAAUAAUCACUGAGGAAAAUACUGAGGGUAGAACAGAAAUAGGCCUGCCAGCCUUUCCCACCCACAGCAUCUGGGGCUGUUUCUACUGAGCACCCCACAUUGUGAACAUGGCCCUUCACCUCGGGAGCUACACUUUGUGGGUUGCUUCCUAACCCUGCCUUGUGUGUGUCUUUGCUGUGAGCAGACCAUCUCAUCUCAGUGUGUCCCUGCUGCAGUGGCUUCUCUGCUCAUGCACCCUGUGGUUUUCACACAGUCUACCUGUGCCCCACUGAGGGAGACUGAUAAUGGGCUCAUGGCCCUAGGAGGCCAAGAACUUCCUGCUGCCUCCUCCAGCCUCCUUCCGCCCCUGCAGAACUGGGAGUCCUCCACCAUGGCCAGCAGGCCCCUCACCAGGCUGCAGCUCCAGGAGGCACUGCUGAACCUCAUCCAGAAUGAUGACAACUUCUUAAGCAUAAUCUAUGAAGCCUAUCUCUUCAGCGUGACACAAGCAGCCAUGAGAAAAGCCACGUAGCCAACUACUACAUGAGAGAGAGCAAAGACUGAGAAUUGAUCUUCCAGGUUCUUCAUGUGAACUGGUGUGACCAAACACACUUAUGCCUUUCUAACAAAGUACAGUGAUGCAGAGUAAAAUGUUUUAUACUGUC